Long non-coding RNA from Halichondria panicea, 2006 nucleotides. RefSeq lists it as uncharacterized. NCBI's taxonomy places the organism in Eukaryota, Metazoa, Porifera, Demospongiae, Suberitida, Halichondriidae. The transcript has 6 exons. The record is from RefSeq and is a predicted model, not a curated record.
GUUAUCAGAAUGAGAACUGUAGGAUGGGUGGAGUAGAUCUGUGUCCUUCACAAUUGUGUUCGCCUCCACAAACCCAGUGCACCAAAAAAUAUUCAAACAAUGUGAUUUUGCCACGUAUUACAUGCCAGUGUGGACAUUCAAAGAGCUCGAAGAAUGCCAUUUUCUAUCUAAUGGGUUUAUCUUUUUUUUAUAGUGAUUCUUAUAGUGAUUCUUCUCCAAGACAUGGUAAGAGUGGCGCUCGGUGAAAUUGCAGAAAGAACGGACUGUGUACAUGGAAACCCCCUCUUGGAGGGUGAAGAGAGAGUCUGUGUAACUCAACUCACAAACGGAGAACUUAGACGUGACGGGUAUGACAUUGAGGAGGGUGGAUUUUGUAGUUGGAACCGUUUGGACUUAAGAAAGCAAUAGCAGAGUGCAUGUAUAUUUUUGUAAAGAAUGUGUUUUCACUCCUUUGAACCUCAAAUAUAUAGUAUAGUAUAGUUCUAAGAAGUUCGGAGGGAUCGAAACACACCGAACACCCUGUAGAACACACUCACCAAGUGUUUGCUUGUGCUGAGAGUUAGGGAUCGAAUCACACCGACCAUUCUACUAGAAUGGGCAAUGGAAUGAGCCAUAGAAUUUCAGUAGAAUGGAUGUAUAAUAUAAUUCUACAGCCAUUCUAUUCAUUCAUGGCUGUAGAUAGAUGUAUAAUGGUAGGGUAUAUAUAGAAUGGAUGUAUAAUGGUAGAAUGAGCAGUAGAAUGAGUAACCCUGGUGAGGGUUUGCGUGUCCAAAAGGAUUGAACCACAAUGAACACUUGUAGAACACCCUAAUCAAGUUUUGUAUUGAAUACCAGCACCAGCUCUAGCUCGUACCACUCACGAAAAUGGAGAACGGAACCAGAUGAAAUUCGAACCAACAAGUUCGUUGAGUCCCUGAUCACGUCCGGGAAGUUUAAAAGUGAAUUGUUGGAGGAUUGCGUAUCGGAAGUGAAGACAAUUAAACAAGUGUUGUUAGCUCGUUCAUUUAUUUAAUUGUGUGAUUAUGCUCACUUUAAUAGAGUCUCAAGGUCGUGAAUGUUCCAAGUUGUAAAUGAUCCUUCUUGUAUAUAUGGAUGAACAAUUCAGUGUAGGACGUGGUAGGAUGUAUGAUAGGGUACUUUAGGAUGGAUGGCGAUCUAGCCACCUUAGAGAGUGAUAGCGAGGAGCCAAAUUUUACAGCGUUUCAAAAUAGGAGGCGCAAGAAUAUUGAGGAAUUGAAGGAAACCUUAGGAAACCUUGGGAUUUAAAGCAAGUGUAAAAAAUAAUUGGUAACGUGAACACAUACACACUAUUACAUACACACUAUUACACAUACACACUAUUACAGAUGACACAUGCCACUAACUACAACAACAAGGUAUCAGGUUCUACACGCCCACGAAGUCUAGUGCCUGAAACUACGAGUAGCGGAGGUGAACAGACCAUCAAGAAAGUGACUGCUUUGCAACUACAACAACAAGAUAUCAGGUUCUACAUGCCCACGAAGCCUAGUGCCUGAAACUACGAGUAGCGGGGGUGAACAGACCAUCAAGAAAGUGACUGCCAAAGAAGGGUACACUUACGAGCUAUCAUCAAGCGACUUAGCCCUCGAGCAAUCUGUCUUCACAGCUGGAGAUGGUAGAGAUGGAAAGAAAGAACUUGUGCCGCAAUAUGGGGUGUACGUGUCCUUCGUUGACUUGGACAGUAAAGAGCAGGGCAGUAAAUUGACUGCAACUGGAUUAAUGCGGAGUUUAAUCGGGAUAUGGUAAGGCUAGCCACAAGUUCAGCAUCAAAGGGUAUCAACCAAAGGAUCAGAACAGCAGUAUUUAGUCAGCAGUAUUUAAAUACUGCUUGGAAAAAUACCCUAACUGCUCAGCUGAUAAGUUAAUGCGAGACCUUACAAACGAAGAGAGGAGAUCUAGAUCAAAGUAACAACGAAAGAAACAAUGGCUCUGUAUAAUUAUUAAUUAAUCUUUUGUCCGACAUGUAUGUAUAAUUAUAAUUAUCA